UCAGUGCAGAAGUUGGAAGGCGUGAGAAGUGAGGAGAUGCAGGUAUUUGAUAGCUGCUGGGAGAAAGGGAAUCGGUUUCCUUUAACAACCUGAAACAUGGCGAUCUGACCACAAACCAUGGCAGGCCGCACUCCUAAGGAUCACUGGGAAACAAAAAUUGGAAUCGAUGAUGAAGAAAGCAAAAACAGGAAGCAUGGCAGCGUGAAGGCAGACAUGGUACCAGAGAAGAAGUUGAGUGUUCUAUAUCCACCUGGAAGGAUGAGCCACUGGACCUGGCUUGGACUUCUGCAACCUUAAAGCAUACUCUCAUUGAUAUAUUUUCUCCAACAAGGACACACCUAUACCAACAAGCCAGAACCUCUGAAAACUCUGAAUAAAACUACUUCCUGAUAACUUAAAUUCAAA
Mesocricetus auratus (golden hamster) is the source of this 405-nucleotide long non-coding RNA. RefSeq lists it as uncharacterized. Lineage: Eukaryota; Metazoa; Chordata; Mammalia; Rodentia; Cricetidae. The record is from RefSeq and is a predicted model, not a curated record. The transcript is spliced from 2 exons.